RNAcentral lists this ribosomal RNA (468 nucleotides) under uncultured bacterium. RNAcentral describes it as "partial 16S ribosomal RNA". It matches the Rfam family "Bacterial small subunit ribosomal RNA", at positions 28 to 507 of the family's 1533-position model. The record is from RNAcentral.
GACGAACGCUGGCGGCGUGCUUAACACAUGCAAGUCGAACGGAAAGGCCCUGCUUUUGUGGGGUGCUCGAGUGGCGAACGGGUGAGUAACACAUGAGUAACCUGCCCUUGACUUUGGGAUAACUUCAGGAAACUGGGGCUAAUACCGGAUAGGAGCUCCUGCUGCAUGGUGGGGGUUGGAAAGUGUCGGCGGUGGGGGAUGGACUCGCGGCUUAUCAGCUUGUUGGUGGGGUAGUUGCUUACCAAGGCUUUGACGGGUAGCCGGCCUGAGAGGGUGACCGGCCACAUUGGGACUGCGAUACGGACCAGACUCCUACGGGAGGCAGCAGUGGGGAAUAUUGCACAAUGGGCGGAAGCCUGAUGCAGCAACGCCGCGUGCGGGAUGACGGCCUUCGGGUUGUAAACCGCUUUCGCCUGUGACGAAGCGUGAGUGACGGUAAUGGGUAAAGAAGCACCGGCUAACUACGUG